RNAcentral lists this ribosomal RNA (253 nucleotides) under uncultured bacterium. RNAcentral's name for it is "partial 16S ribosomal RNA". It matches the Rfam family "Bacterial small subunit ribosomal RNA", at positions 524 to 776 of the family's 1533-position model. The record is from RNAcentral.
UACGUAGGGUGCAAGCGUUGUCCGGAUUUAUUGGGCGUAAAGAGCUCGUAGGCGGCUUGUUGCGUCAGCUGUGAAAACCCGCAGCUCAACUGUGGGCUUGCAGCUGAUACGGGCAGGCUUGAGUUCGGUAGGGGAGACUGGAAUUCCUGGUGUAGCGGUGAAAUGCGCAGAUAUCAGGAGGAACACCGGUGGCGAAGGCGGGUCUCUGGACAGUUCCUGACGCUGAGGCACGAAGGUCAGGGGAGCAAACGGG